Molecule: ribosomal RNA, 460 nt
Filed under: uncultured bacterium
Lineage: Bacteria
Description: partial 16S ribosomal RNA
Rfam family: Bacterial small subunit ribosomal RNA
Source: RNAcentral
CCUACGGGAGGCUGCAGUGAGGAAUAUUGGUCAAUGGCCGCAGGCCUGAACCAGCCAAGUAGCGUGAAGGAUGACUGUCCUAUGGAUUGUAAACUUCUUUUAUAAGGGAAUAAAGUGAGGCACGUGUGCCUCUUUGCGUGUACUUUAUGAAUAAGGAUCGGCUAACUCCGUGCCAGCAGCCGCGGUAAUACGGAGGAUUCGAGCGUUAUCCGGAUUUAUUGGGUUUAAAGGGGGCGUAGGCGGGUUGUUAAGUCAGUUGUGAAAGUUUGGGGCUCAACGUGGGAACUGCCUUUGAAACUGGCAAACUGGAGUGUGCGAGAGGAGAGUGGAAUUCCAGGUGUAGGAGUGAAAUCCGUAGAUAUCUGGAGGAACAUCAGUGGCGAAGGCGACUAUCUGGCACAUAACUGACGCUGAGGAGCGAAAGCGUGGGUAGCAAACAGGAUUAGAUACCCGUGUAGUC